AUUAUUUUAGUAUAAUAAUUAUUACAAUUAACUUCCAAUUAAUAGAACUUAAUAAAGAUUUAAUA
Molecule: transfer RNA, 65 nt
Filed under: Arisubathynella cheongmiensis
Lineage: Eukaryota; Metazoa; Arthropoda; Malacostraca; Bathynellacea; Parabathynellidae
Description: tRNA-Gly
Source: RNAcentral